RNAcentral lists this non-coding RNA (70 nucleotides) under Fragilariopsis kerguelensis. The record is from RNAcentral. Lineage: Eukaryota; Bacillariophyta; Bacillariophyceae; Bacillariales; Bacillariaceae.
AACUAAGAAACGUCCUUCCCUCCUUCUAACGUCGUUGAUAACACUCUGCGUGAUAUCCAUUUUUGCCUCA